This 85-nucleotide transfer RNA is filed under the name Piedraia hortae CBS 480.64. It matches the Rfam family "tRNA". From Rfam's summary of the family: Transfer RNA (tRNA) molecules are approximately 80 nucleotides in length. The record is from Rfam by way of RNAcentral. Lineage: Eukaryota; Fungi; Ascomycota; Dothideomycetes; Capnodiales; Piedraiaceae.
GGUGGUAUGGUCUAGUGGUAUGACGUCACGUUGUGGCUUGAUUGCAGCAUCCGUGCCAGCCUCAGUUCGAUUCUGGGUACCGCCA